GAUGAACGCUGGCGGCGUGCCUAAUACAUGCAAGUCGAGCGAACAGACGAGGAGCUUGCUCCUCUGACGUUAGCGGCGGACGGGUGAGUAACACGUGGAUAACCUACCUAUAAGACUGGGAUAACUUCGGGAAACCGGAGCUAAUACCGGAUAAUAUUUUGAACCGCAUGGUUCAAUAGUGAAAGACGGUGUUGCUGUCACUUAUAGAUGGAUCCGCGCUGCAUUAGCUAGUUGGUAAGGUAACGGCUUACCAAGGCGACGAUGCGUAGCCGACCUGAGAGGGUGAUCGGCCACACUGGAACUGAGACACGGUCCAGACUCCUACGGGAGGCAGCAGUAGGGAAUCUUCCGCAAUGGGCGAAAGCCUGACGGAGCAACGCCGCGUGAGUGAUGAAGGUCUUCGGAUCGUAAAACUCUGUUAUUAGGGAAGAACAAAUGUGUAAGUAACUGUGCACGUCUUGACGGUACCUAAUCAGAAAGCCACGGCUAACUACGUG
Molecule: ribosomal RNA, 497 nt
Filed under: uncultured bacterium
Lineage: Bacteria
Description: partial 16S ribosomal RNA
Rfam family: Bacterial small subunit ribosomal RNA
Source: RNAcentral